UGGGGAAUUUUGGACAAUGGGCGAAAGCCUGAUCCAGCAAUGCCGCGUGUGUGAAGAAGGCCUUCGGUUGUAAGCACUUUUGUCCGGAAAGAAAUCCUUGGCUCUAAUACAGUCGGGGGAUGACGGUACCGGAAGAAUAAGCACCGGCUAACUACGUGCCAGCAGCCGCGGUAAUACGUAGGGUGCAAGCGUUAAUCGGAAUUACUGGGCGUAAAGCGUGCGCAGGCGGUUUGCUAAGACCGAUGUGAAAUCCCCGGGCUAACCUGGGAACUGCAUUGGUGACUGGCAGGCUAGAGUAUGGCAGAGGGGGGUAGAAUUCCACGUGUGGCAGUGAAAUGCGUAGAGAUGUGGAGGAAUACCGAUGGCGAAGCAGCCCCCUGGGCCAAUACUGACGCUCAUGCACGAAAGCGUGGGGAGCAAACAGGAUUAGAUACCCUGGUAGUCCACGCCCUAAACGAUGUCAACUAGUUGUUGGGGAUUCAUUUCCUUAGUAACGUAGCUAACGCGUGAAGUUGACCGCCUGGGGAGUACGGUCGCAAGAUU
This 543-nucleotide ribosomal RNA is filed under the name uncultured bacterium. RNAcentral's name for it is "partial 16S ribosomal RNA". It matches the Rfam family "Bacterial small subunit ribosomal RNA", at positions 355 to 895 of the family's 1533-position model. The record is from RNAcentral.